GAACGGUCGGCGGGCGAUCCGCGUCGGUCGUGCGAGGGUGGUAUGGUUCCCCCAGAGGCCGGUUCUUGUGCUGCCUACCCCUUCAGGGGAAUCGGGCCACUUGAUGUAAGCCUCCAUCCGGCGCCUUCCAACGGGCGCAGGAGGACAACAGGGCACCCCCCGCGUUCCACCGAUCCUCCUUGGUCGCGUGGCCCGCGGGGACGUGCGACGCUCUCGGACCCAGCGAACGCCGUGGGCGAGGACUCACGUCCCAGUCCCGAAAAGAAGCUCCGAUAUAAUGCAAGACGGCCGCUCCCGCCCCCCCGGGGGCGAGGCGCGGCGUCGCAGAGGAAUG
Molecule: unclassified non-coding RNA, 334 nt
Filed under: Acacia koa
Lineage: Eukaryota; Viridiplantae; Streptophyta; Magnoliopsida; Fabales; Fabaceae
Description: contains external transcribed spacer and 18S ribosomal RNA
Source: RNAcentral